CACAAGAGCAGUGAUCCCCAGAUUUUCUCAACAAUGUAUCCCAUUUCCUGAAACACUUCACCACUGAUCUCCUUUUUACAAGAAGAAAAUUUUGGUGGACCGUUACCCAGCAAGGAAAGGACGUUUGGCUAUUAAGAUAGUUGCUGAGAAUUAUAAGUAGUUGUAUGCCGGUCUGCCUCCUGGAGAAGGAAGUAGCUUCUAAAGGCCGGAGUCUUUGCCUUUGACUCUAACAUUGCCCUAGCAGAAGUUUAUGGAAUUGAAUCCAGAUAUAAAUAAAUGAAAAAUGAAAAGUAAAACCAUGGGAAAUAGGACUAGUUCUCUGAAAGUGGAUGGACCUUCCAGUGAUUCAAACCUCUUGGAUAGACCUGGCCAAAUGUGUGAGGAGUGCAGUAAAUCUUUCCCUCUUGGCAGGGGUCAGCAGUUUGAUGGAGACUGUAAUCCUGUGAAUGUGCAGUUCUUAUAGACUGUGAAAUGCAAUAAUAAUUUCAGUGUUUUAUUACAGUAACAUUUAACAAAAUCAUGGCCAUGGAGGGAAUUAAACUUACACAGAAUGUCCAUAAUGAGACUCUGAGUGCUGUUGUUUCAGGUACGAUACAGAGUGCCUACUCUGAGUGGCACAUUAAAGAGACGAAAGCCAUCUUUUCCUUAUUGCUUUUAAUGUACAGAAAUGCUUGGAUUUAACUAUAAAUUACUUGUACAAUGACCUCAACUGUCUGGGAUACAGCAAAGCAAAGGCAGCUAAAACAGAUAUCAUUCAUUCUCCAAACUCCUAGGGGAGCUUCUUAGGCUUUUGCUUGGCACCUAGUGAUUCUUUCUGUACAUACAAUUCUAUCCUUCUUGAUUAUCUGAUCUC
Molecule: long non-coding RNA, 853 nt
Organism: Panthera uncia (snow leopard)
Lineage: Eukaryota; Metazoa; Chordata; Mammalia; Carnivora; Felidae
Exons: 5
Source: RefSeq, a predicted model, not a curated record